GCCUGUUUAUCAAAAACAUGGUUUUUUGAGAUAAUUUAAGAUUUGACCUGCCCAAUGAGUAAUUAAAUGGCCGCGGUAUACUGACCGUGCAAAGGUAGCAUAGUCAUUAGUUUUUUAAUUGAAAGCUGGAAUGAAUGGUUUGACAAGAAAACAGCUGUCUCUAUUUUAAUUUUUAUAGAAUUUUAUUUUUAAGUGAAAAAGCUUAAAUAUGAUUAAGGGACGAGAAGACCCUUUAGAAUUUUAUAUGUAUUUGAGUUGAAAUUUAGGGAAAGAUUUGUUUUUUAUUUAAUUAAAAUAUUUUGUUGGGGUGAUGGAAAAAUUUAGUUAACUUUUUUUUUAUAUUUUCAUUGAUUAAUGAUUAUUUGAUCCAUAUUUUAUGAUUACAAGAUUAAAUUACCUAAGGGAUAACAGCGUAAUUGAUUCGGAGAGUUCUAAUCGAUGAAUUAGUUUGCGACCUCGAUGUUGGAUUAAAAUAAACGGUUGGUGUAGGGGCUAACUAGUUAAGUCUGUUCGACUUUUAAAAUUUUACAUGAUCUGAGUUCAGACCGG
This 549-nucleotide ribosomal RNA is filed under the name Nigidius formosanus. Its description in RNAcentral is "partial 16S ribosomal RNA". It matches the Rfam family "Bacterial large subunit ribosomal RNA", at positions 1798 to 2619 of the family's 2925-position model. Lineage: Eukaryota; Metazoa; Arthropoda; Insecta; Coleoptera; Lucanidae. The record is from RNAcentral.